RNAcentral lists this ribosomal RNA (427 nucleotides) under uncultured bacterium. RNAcentral's name for it is "bacterial SSU rRNA". It matches the Rfam family "Bacterial small subunit ribosomal RNA", at positions 355 to 774 of the family's 1533-position model. The record is from RNAcentral.
UGGGGAAUCUUGCGCAAUGGGCGCAAGCCUGAUCCAGCAAUGCCGCGUGCAGGAUGAAGGCCUUCGGGUUGUAAACUGCUUUUGUACGGAGCGAAAAGGUCUGCCCUAAUACGGUGGGCUCAUGACGGUACCGUAAGAAUAAGCACCGGCUAACUACGUGCCAGCAGCCGCGGUAAUACGUAGGGUGCGAGCGUUAAUCGGAAUCACUGGGCGUCAAGCGUGCGCAGGCGGUUAUAUAAGACAGAUGUGAAAUCCCCGGGCUCAACCUGGGACCUGCAUUUGUGACUGUAUAGCUAGAGUACGGUAGAGGGGGAAGGAGUACCGCGUGUAGCAGUAAAAUGCGUGGGUAUGCGGAGGAACGCCGAUGGCGAAGGCAAUCCCCUGGACCUGUAAUGACGCUCAUGCACGAAAGCGUGGGAAGCAAACA